GAUGAACGCUGGCGGCGUGCCUAAUACAUGCAAGUCGAGCGAACGGACGAGAAGCUUGCUUUUCUGAUGUUAGCGGCGGACGGGUGAGUAACACGUGGAUAACCUACCUAUAAGACUGGGAUAACUUCGGGAAACCGGAGCUAAUACCGGAUAAUAUUUUGAACCGCAUGGUUCAAAAGUGAAAGACGGUCUUGCUGUCACUUAUAGAUGGAUCCGCGCUGCAUUAGCUAGUUGGUAAGGUAACGGCUUACCAAGGCAACGAUGCAUAGCCGACCUGAGAGGGUGAUCGGCCACACUGGAACUGAGACACGGUCCAGACUCUACGGGAGGCAGCAGUAGGGAAUCUUCCGCAAUGGGCGAAAGCCUGACGGAGCAACGCCGCGUGAGUGAUGAAGGUCUUCGGAUCGUAAAACCCUGUUAUUAGGGAAGAACAUAUGUGUAAGUAACUGUGCACAUCUUGACGGUACCUAAUCAGAAAGCCACGGCUAACUACGUG
RNAcentral lists this ribosomal RNA (496 nucleotides) under uncultured bacterium. RNAcentral's name for it is "partial 16S ribosomal RNA". It matches the Rfam family "Bacterial small subunit ribosomal RNA", at positions 28 to 507 of the family's 1533-position model. The record is from RNAcentral.